GGUGUUAUAGUGCAAGUGGUAGCAUAAUAGGCUCAUGUCCUGUUGAUUUAGGUUCAAGUCCUAAUAACGCUU
RNAcentral lists this transfer RNA (72 nucleotides) under Craterellus lutescens. Its description in RNAcentral is "Cantharellus lutescens tRNA-Met". It matches the Rfam family "tRNA". Rfam says of the family: Transfer RNA (tRNA) molecules are approximately 80 nucleotides in length. Their secondary structure includes four short double-helical elements and three loops (D, anti-codon, and T loops). Further hydrogen bonds mediate the characteristic L-shaped molecular structure. tRNAs have two regions of fundamental functional importance: the anti-codon, which is responsible for specific mRNA codon recognition, and the 3' end, to which the tRNAs corresponding amino acid is attached (by aminoacyl-tRNA synthetases). tRNAs cope with the degeneracy of the genetic code in two manners: having more than one tRNA (with a specific anti-codon) for a particular amino acid; and 'wobble' base-pairing, i.e. permitting non-standard base-pairing at the 3rd anti-codon position. Lineage: Eukaryota; Fungi; Basidiomycota; Agaricomycetes; Cantharellales; Hydnaceae. The record is from RNAcentral.